UCUUUCGGCCAUACCACACUGAACACGCCCGAUCUCGUCAGAUCUCGGAAGCAAAGCAGGGUCGGGCCCGGUUAGUACUUGGAUGGGAGAAAUAGCAUCAUUCUACUAUCAAAACCAAACAAAGAC
This 126-nucleotide ribosomal RNA is filed under the name Callithrix jacchus (white-tufted-ear marmoset). The record is from RNAcentral. Lineage: Eukaryota; Metazoa; Chordata; Mammalia; Primates; Cebidae.